UACGAAGGGUGCAAGCGUUACUCGGAAUUACUGGGCGUAAAGCGUGCGUAGGUGGUUUGUUAAGUCUGAUGUGAAAGCCCUGGGCUCAACCUGGGAAUUGCAUUGGAUACUGGCAGGCUAGAGUGCGGUAGAGGAUGGCGGAAUUCCCGGUGUAGCAGUGAAAUGCGUAGAGAUCGGGAGGAACAUCUGUGGCGAAGGCGGCGCACUGGACCACAACUGACGCUGAGGCGCGAAAGCUAGGGGAGCAAACAGG
RNAcentral lists this ribosomal RNA (253 nucleotides) under uncultured bacterium. RNAcentral describes it as "partial 16S ribosomal RNA". It matches the Rfam family "Bacterial small subunit ribosomal RNA", at positions 524 to 776 of the family's 1533-position model. The record is from RNAcentral.